AACGAACGCUGGCGGCAUGCCUAACACAUGCAAGUCGAACGAGACCUUCGGGUCUAGUGGCGCACGGGUGCGUAACGCGUGGGAAUCUGCCCUAGGGUGCGGAAUAACUCGGAGAAAUCCGUGCUAAUACCGCAUAAUGUCUUCGGACCAAAGAUUUAUCGCCCUGGGAUGAGCCCGCGUAGGAUUAGCUAGUUGGUGGGGUAAAGGCCUACCAAGGCGACGAUCCUUAGCUGGUCUGAGAGGAUGAUCAGCCACACUGGGACUGAGACACGGCCCAGACUCCUACGGGAGGCAGCAGUGGGGAAUAUUGGACAAUGGGCGAAAGCCUGAUCCAGCAAUGCCGCGUGAGUGAUGAAGGCCCUAGGGUUGUAAAGCUCUUUUACCCGGGAUGAUAAUGACAGUACCGGGAGAAUAAGACUCCGGCUAACUCCGUGCCAGCAGCCGCGGUAAAGUAU
This 455-nucleotide ribosomal RNA is filed under the name uncultured bacterium. Its description in RNAcentral is "bacterial SSU rRNA". It matches the Rfam family "Bacterial small subunit ribosomal RNA", at positions 29 to 526 of the family's 1533-position model. The record is from RNAcentral.